Molecule: transfer-messenger RNA, 397 nt
Filed under: Flavobacteriaceae
Lineage: Bacteria; Pseudomonadati; Bacteroidota; Flavobacteriia; Flavobacteriales
Also listed under: 1 other name
Description: TMED96 sp902593075 Standard tmRNA
Rfam family: transfer-messenger RNA
About the family: Bacterial tmRNA, also known as 10Sa RNA or SsrA, is named for its dual tRNA and mRNA-like properties. Its role is to liberate the mRNA from a stalled ribosome.
Source: RNAcentral
GGGGUCGACCGGAUUUGACAGCAAGACUAAGUGAUAUGUAAGCAUGUCGAGCAUUGAUUCACAGCUCGUAAAUAUUGGAUUCAAAAGUUAAAUGGCGAAAAUAACUACGCUCUAGCUGCAUAAUAAACCGAAUUAUAGUAAGUUUUUGCUAAGUCCUAACAAGGUUAGGAAGUUAGAUGUCUCUUAAUAGCCGUUGUUGACGGCGAUUAAUAUAGAGGCACCAUAAAAGUCAACAUUAAAGUAAAAAUGUGUCAGUUUUACUUGAAAAUUUAGACACUAAGGUUUUAGUAGAUUGUUUUCUUUCAGCUAUUACUCGAAAAUUAAUUGAAAACUAAGCAUGUAGAAGGCGUAUUAUUUACUUGUUUGGACGAGGGUUCGAUUCCCUCCGACUCCACCA